Molecule: RNase P RNA, 328 nt
Filed under: Candidatus Kaiserbacteria bacterium
Lineage: Bacteria; Candidatus Kaiseribacteriota
Description: RNase P RNA component class A
Rfam family: Bacterial RNase P class A
About the family: Ribonuclease P (RNase P) is a ubiquitous endoribonuclease, found in archaea, bacteria and eukarya as well as chloroplasts and mitochondria. Its best characterised activity is the generation of mature 5'-ends of tRNAs by cleaving the 5'-leader elements of precursor-tRNAs. Cellular RNase Ps are ribonucleoproteins.
Source: RNAcentral
AGACUAGGUUAGACAAUCGCUCCGUCAGCAAUGCCGGGGAGGAAAGUCCGAACAUACUCCUACCGUAAGGUUGGGAAAAUAGGUAGCGGGUAACGCCCGUCGUUCGCGAGGAUAGAGGUGACUACAGUGACGUCAAUGGUGAAAACCGGAGACCCCCUUCGGGGAGAAUCCUGUCGAAAGACAGGGGUGCAACGAACAAAUCCUUACCCGUAUGCAAGGCCGUGUCCCGAGAGCAAUCGAGGGAAGUGCCGCUUGAGCUCGUGAGUAAUCACUGGCCAAGAUAAAUGAUUGUCCGCGACAGAAUUCGGCUUAUCGACCUAGUCUGCAA